AGACCCCAGAGUUCUGAGCCAAGCCCUGCCCCGCCCCUCUCCUCGCUCCCAGGCCUAGCUUCCUGUCCUCCAGCUGCUUUUCCUGAUAUUGGUAGAGCUUUUUUGUUGGCUGCGCCUCAUGGAUUUACAGCCUCAGCGUUGACUCCAGAUUCAGCCCUUGCCAUCUUGCUCCCCACCUUGAGAGCAGCAGCACCAAAAAUAGCAGCAUGAGUCACUGAAGCAUCGGGCAUCGUCGUCAAGGGCCAGGACGCCUGCUGCGGUGGAGCUUCUGCUUGAUUUCCAGGGACCUGGGGAAGGGAACCCUGGCCAGCUGGCCCCCAUCACUGCCUCCUGGACCCUGGGGGAGAGCUGAGUUCACUAAGAAAUUUGAAGCCUGAACUGGUGGAAAUGUUAAUGUUCAGAAUGGCUUUACCAUGACACUGCAUAAGGACCUCAGGGUCCCUCAUUUGCACCCCUUCUAAAGUUCUAUACUUUUUUUUUUUUACACUGUAUUUUAUUUUUCUUUUCUGAAAGAGGGCUCUCAAAGUUUUAUGUUUCAGGUCUGAGAAAACAAGCAUGGGUUAAUUUUGUUUAAUUCUUAUUGUGACCUUGGGAAACCAUUGGCUUGUCUUCUCUAUUUACAGACAAAGGAUACGAGAGCAGAGAAAAGCCUUCCUUGGGUUCCUGGAAAAUUCCAGGUUUGUUUCAGCCUCAGGGCCUUUGCAGUUCCUAUUGCCCUGUCUUGAACUCUGUCCCUGGCUUGGGGCUUUUACUAAGCAACAACUGCUGGGCCCUCCUUCCCUGCCUCCCUGGUAACUACUCUUUAUCUUUACUUUUUGUUUUCUUUAUGUAGCAUUCACCACUCCAGAAUUAUCUUCAUUUGUGCAUCUACUUCUUUAACAAAUGCUUAUGGUACAUAUUCUGCCAUCAGGCACUGUUGUCAGCUUUAUAAAUAUGAAAUCAUUCAGUCCUCACUACUCUGACACUGAAACUUGUCCAUCCACACUUUAAAAUGAAAGCAACUGAAGCAUGGAGAGGUUAAGCAGAUUGCCAAAAGUCACACAGCUGGUGAGUUACAGUACCACCUGUCUCCCCCACUGGAAGACAAGGUUCACCUGUGCAGAGCCUGUAGCUGAGGCCUGCCCUGCUCACUCAAGAGCCCCUGUACCCAGAGCAGUGUGCCACACAUACAAUCGUACAAACAGGAUAUGAGACAGCAAAGGCCAGGUCACAGAGAAGGAGGGACGGGAGAGAAGCCUGGAGAGAGGCUGUGGGGGAGAUGAUGGAAGGCCUCGAAGGGCCUCAAGCGCUGAAGGACGAGCCGGGCUGGGGGGCAGCAUUGGGACCGGCAGGAGUGUGGUGGUCUGGGCACCGUGCCAAGAAAGGCAGGAUCUUGUUGACAGAUUUAACUUAGCAGGUAGGCGGGCAAACGCCUUGGAGUUAACCUCCUUCCUUCAUGCCCUGCAUCCAUUACAUGAACAGACCCUGUCAGCACCUCCAAAAUGCAUUCCUAAUCCCACUUUUCUCACCCAAAUUCUGCUCCCACCUGGCCCACAGCUCCAUCACAGCUUUCCUGGAAUCCUGCCACGGCCAACUAGGAGGUCCCCUGGGCUUUCAGCCUCGUCCCUGACACAGCAGUCAGGGGGAUCCUGAUAAACCUGUCAGAUCACAUCACUUUCCUGCUCAAAAUCCGCUGGCAUGUUCCAAAGUGAACACAACGCCAUCUCAUACUGCAGGGUCUCCUGCCCACCCCUAGUUCCUCUAGUCGCCCCUCCUUCCUACCCCCGCCAUUUUGGCUACCCCAAGGCCUUUGCAUUUGACCUUCCCUCUGACUGGCAAGCUUCUUCCCUAGGAGUUCCAUGAAUCUCACUCUUUCACUUCCUCAGGUUUUUUCUCAAGUAUGAGCUUCUCACUGGGGUCUGAUCUGGUCCCCCUGCUGAAAAUGCAACACUGCCCACUUACCCAGUGCUCUGUCUCUACUGCUGGUUCUACGUGCAAACUUUGAUUUUUUAAUUCCUCACUGCACCUCCCCAGUGCCCACAAUUAUACCUAAAACACUACAGGGCAUAUUUGAUUAAGCUAGGUGCAAGACACUGUAUAACCUACAUGGAAGACAAAAAUAUAAACGAAAAUAGACACAAGGCCCUUGUAGGCCCUACAAAAUAUGCCAUGGAUGGAUACCAAAGUUGCUGCUGUAGGACUCGUGUGGCCCAUGGCGUAGUGAAAGCAAAUAAACUGGCAGACAGAAAUGAGUGAGCUGCUUGCAAGCAGGUCGCCAGAGAACCUUGACAGCUCUUAUUAGCCUGCAAGACCUGGCAGAGUUGGUGGAAGGGGGAUGCCAGCAGAGGAAACAUCUUGCAGGCAGGCCCAAAAUAAAGGAGCCCACCUAGCUCAAGGAACAGACGAAGAGUGCGCCUGGAGUUUGGUGCUGAAGGUACCCGUCCUGCCUUUCGCAAGAGGGCAACGAUUUUAAGAAUCGCCCAGGACGCCGCCAGUAGGUGAUCAAGCACCUCAGUGAGGUCUUUUGUUUCCUUCAUCCCCUUACCUCCGAAUAACGGAGGCAGAGACCCUUCAUUAACGGCUAAAAACUCUACUGCACGAAUGUGAACAAUCCCACGCCACGGCCCUCUACCCGCGAGGUUCAGCGAGGGUGUGCAUCUCCACCGAGGAGAUCGGCCAAGAUGAAAUUCCGAGCCAGUCCUACCCGAGCCCCAGCGCCUUCACCAUCACGCGGGAUUUUGGGACACCCAGAACCCAAUACUGGGAUUCAGGGACGGGCCAGGCUGCGCUCCCGAGGCCAAUCCAAACUGUCACCCUCACUGGCUGGGACCCCUGAGCCUGACACUCCGGCGAAGGACCAAGACUCAAUGCCGCCGGAUAGACGCGAACUGUUUCAGACUGACUCGCCGCAGACCGACGGAAGAAGCGGCCCGGGCGGACCCACCAAACCCACACCCUCAGAAACGACCACUGCAGAGCGUGUCUGUGGCCUCAGACUCCCAUAACCCACCGCUGCUGUAAAAACCCUACCCUGCUCUUUGAAGG
This is a long non-coding RNA of Bos taurus (domestic cattle), 3024 nucleotides long. NCBI's taxonomy places the organism in Eukaryota, Metazoa, Chordata, Mammalia, Artiodactyla, Bovidae. The record is from Ensembl.